AAAUUGAAGAGUUUGAUCAUGGCUCAGAUUGAACGCUGGCGGCAGGCCUAACACAUGCAAGUCGAACGGUAACAGGAAUCAGCUUGCUGAUUCGCUGACGAGUGGCGGACGGGUGAGUAAUGUCUGGGAAACUGCCUGAUGGAGGGGGAUAACUACUGGAAACGGUAGCUAAUACCGCAUAACGUCGCAAGACCAAAGAGGGGGACCUUCGGGCCUCUUGCCAUCGGAUGUGCCCAGAUGGGAUUAGCUAGUAGGUGGGGUAACGGCUCACCUAGGCGACGAUCCCUAGCUGGUCUGAGAGGAUGACCAGCCACACUGGAACUGAGACACGGUCCAGACUCCUACGGGAGGCAGCAGUGGGGAAUAUUGCACAAUGGGCGCAAGCCUGAUGCAGCCAUGCCGCGUGUAUGAAGAAGGCCUUCGGGUUGUAAAGUACUUUCAGCGGGGAGGAAGGGAGUAAAGUUAAUACCUUUGCUCAUUGACGUUACCCGCAGAAGAAGCACCGGCUAACUCCGUGCCAGCAGCCGCGGUAAUACGGAGGGUGCAAGCGUUAAUCGGAAUUACUGGGCGUAAAGCGCACGCAGGCGGUUUGUUAAGUCAGAUGUGAAAUCCCCGGGCUCAACACGGAACUGCAUCUGAUACUGGCAAGCUUGAGUCUCGUAGAGGGGGGUAGAAUUCCAGGUGUAGCGGUGAAAUGCGUAGAGAUCUGGAGGAAUACCGGUGGCGAAGGCGGCCCCCUGGACGAAGACUGACGCUCAGGUGCGAAAGCGUGGGGAGCAAACAGGAUUAGAUACCCUGGUAGUCCACGCCGUAAACGAUGUCGACUUGGAGGUUGUGCCCUUGAGGCGUGGCUUCCGGAGCUAACGCGUUAAGUCGACCGCACGGGAGUACGGCCGCAAGGUUAAAACUCAAAUGAAUUGACGGGGGCCCGCACAAGCGGUGGAGCAUGUGGUUUAAUUCGAUGCAACGCGAAGAACCUUACCUGGUCUUGACAUCCACGGAAGUUUUCAGAGAUGAGAAUGUGCCUUCGGGAACCGUGAGACAGGUGCUGCAUGGCUGUCGUCAGCUCGUGUUGUGAAAUGUUGGGUUAAGUCCCGCAACGAGCGCAACCCUUAUCCUUUGUUGCCAGCGGUCCGGCCGGGAACUCAAAGGAGACUGCCAGUGAUAAACUGGAGGAAGGUGGGGAUGACGUCAAGUCAUCAUGGCCCUUACGACCAGGGCUACACACGUGCUACAAUGGCGCAUACAAAGAGAAGCGACCUCGCGAGAGCAAGCGGACCUCAUAAAGUGCGUCGUAGUCCGGAUUGGAGUCUGCAACUCGACUCCAUGAAGUCGGAAUCGCUAGUAAUCGUGGAUCAGAAUGCCACGGUGAAUACGUUCCCGGGCCUUGUACACACCGCCCGUCACACCAUGGGAGUGGGUUGCAAAAGAAGUAGGUAGCUUAACCUUCGGGAGGGCGCUUACCACUUUGUGAUUCAUGACUGGGGUGAAGUCGUAACAAGGUAACCGUAGGGGAACCUGCGGUUGGAUCACCUCCUUACCUUAAAGAA
Molecule: ribosomal RNA, 1550 nt
Filed under: Escherichia fergusonii
Lineage: Bacteria; Pseudomonadati; Pseudomonadota; Gammaproteobacteria; Enterobacterales; Enterobacteriaceae
Description: bacterial SSU rRNA
Rfam family: Bacterial small subunit ribosomal RNA
Source: RNAcentral